This 200-nucleotide ribosomal RNA is filed under the name uncultured bacterium. Its description in RNAcentral is "partial 16S ribosomal RNA". It matches the Rfam family "Bacterial small subunit ribosomal RNA", at positions 1303 to 1500 of the family's 1533-position model. The record is from RNAcentral.
GGCUGAAAUUACGCCUUCAUGAAGCUGGAAUUGCUAGUAAUGGCAGGUCAGCAUACUGCCGUGAAUACGUUCCCGGGCCUUGUACACACCGCCCGUCACACCAUGAGAGUUGGGAAUACCCGAAGCCUGUGAGCCAACUUUUAAAGAGGCAACAGUCGAAGGUAGAAUCAAUGAUUGGGGUGAAGUCGUAACAAGGUAAC